This 497-nucleotide ribosomal RNA is filed under the name uncultured bacterium. RNAcentral's name for it is "partial 16S ribosomal RNA". It matches the Rfam family "Bacterial small subunit ribosomal RNA", at positions 28 to 507 of the family's 1533-position model. The record is from RNAcentral.
GAUGAACGCUGGCGGCGUGCCUAAUACAUGCAAGUAGAACGCUGAAGGAAGGAGCUUGCUCUUUCCGGAUGAGUUGCGAACGGGUGAGUAACGCGUAGGUAACCUGCCUGGUAGCAGGGGAUAACUAUUGGAAACGAUAGCUAAUACCGCAUAACAGUAGAUGUUGCAUGAUAUCUACUUAAAAGGUGCAAUUGCACCACUACCAGAUGGACCUGCGUUGUAUUAGCUAGUUGGUGAGGUAACGGCUCACCAAGGCGACGAUACAUAGCCGACCUGAGAGGGUGAUCGGCCACACUGGGACUGAGACACGGCCCAGACUCCUACGGGAGGCAGCAGUAGGGAAUCUUCGGCAAUGGACGGAAGUCUGACCGAGCAACGCCGCGUGAGUGAAGAAGGUUUUCGGAUCGUAAAGCUCUGUUGUAAGAGAAGAACGAGUGUGAGAGUGGAAAGUUCACACUGUGACGGUAUCUUACCAGAAAGGGACGGCUAACUACGUG